RNAcentral lists this ribosomal RNA (482 nucleotides) under uncultured bacterium. Its description in RNAcentral is "partial 16S ribosomal RNA". It matches the Rfam family "Bacterial small subunit ribosomal RNA", at positions 30 to 505 of the family's 1533-position model. The record is from RNAcentral.
AUUGAACGCUGGCGGCAGGCCUAACACAUGCAAGUCGAGCGGAUGAAGGGAGCUUGCUCCUGGAUUCAGCGGCGGACGGGUGAGUAAUGCCUAGGAAUCUGCCUGGUAGUGGGGGAUAACGUCCGGAAACGGGCGCUAAUACCGCAUACGUCCUGAGGGAGAAAGUGGGGGAUCUUCGGACCUCACGCUAUCAGAUGAGCCUAGGUCGGAUUAGCUAGUUGGUGGGGUAAAGGCCCACCAAGGCGACGAUCCGUAACUGGUCUGAGAGGAUGAUCAGUCACACUGGAACUGAGACACGGUCCAGACUCCUACGGGAGGCAGCAGUGGGGAAUAUUGGACAAUGGGCGAAAGCCUGAUCCAGCCAUGCCGCGUGUGUGAAGAAGGUCUUCGGAUUGUAAAGCACUUUAAGUUGGGAGGAAGGGCAGUAAGUUAAUACCUUGCUGUUUUGACGUUACCAACAGAAUAAGCACCGGCUAACUUCG